CACGGUUUGUGCGUCAGCCAUGUACAAAAGUUAGGAAGUGCAUUAUUAGGUUUAUUGGAUAGGAAAUUAGUACGGAAUUUGGAAAAGGAUCAGAUAAAUUUUAUUAUAAACUUCGUGCUAUCCGAACAGUCUGUAUCGAUAAUGGAACCUUCCGUUUCCAUUCCAGACGCAUUGAUUGUGACUACAUGAGACACCUGGAGGGAUGUCCCUCCAGGGUCUUCGGGCUCCAUCAUGGACGACAAGAGAAAAAUUCUUAUCUACAUAUAAUAAAAUAAAAUAACUUACCAGGCUAUUAAGACAAACUAAAAAUAUAAAUAAUCAACAAUAACUACUACUAUAUACACCUUAUAACUUAACUGAUCCUGUAUUAUUAUAUUAAUUUAAUUUUCAAAAGUUAAGCCAAAAAAAAGACGCCCGCCUAUUUUUACACUUCCCGCGCUUUUCUAUUAGUCCUUUUCAUGAGAAUUUGGAAGUCCCGCGGUGAUUUUUGGAACUAAUUUUGACAGGUCGGCGGUGUUGUCAUUCGGCGAUGUUAUCAAGUUCGUUUGUUGUAGUAGAUUUUUGUGAGUUUUAAAGAUUUUUUAGAAUGCCAAAAGUUCUAAAAAGUUUGGCUCGAGAAAUUAUGUUGAAGGUGAAAGAGUUCUGUGAAGCGGAAUAAAAAAUCCAGAUGUUUCAAAAAAUCCAUAACAGGUGUGUCAGAGACUACUUUAACAAGAAAUACUAAAGAAGGUAUAACAUGGAUGAAGAGAUGGACCGAAUAAUUAUAUCUACGGCUAGUGAUACUGAAACAGAAUCGGAUUCUGUUUCCAUCCACUCUUCAGACGGCGAUGUUCCUAUGGCUGCUGAUCACAAUCAUUCAAUAAAA
Molecule: long non-coding RNA, 865 nt
Organism: Pieris rapae (cabbage white)
Lineage: Eukaryota; Metazoa; Arthropoda; Insecta; Lepidoptera; Pieridae
Exons: 3
Source: RefSeq, a predicted model, not a curated record